This 460-nucleotide ribosomal RNA is filed under the name uncultured bacterium. Its description in RNAcentral is "partial 16S ribosomal RNA". It matches the Rfam family "Bacterial small subunit ribosomal RNA", at positions 338 to 795 of the family's 1533-position model. The record is from RNAcentral.
CCUACGGGAGGCAGCAGUGAGGAAUAUUGGUCAAUGGGCGCAAGCCUGAACCAGCCAAGUCGCGUGAGGGAUGACGGUCCUAUGGAUUGUAAACCUCUUUUGUCGGGGAGCAAGGCCCGCCACGUGUGGCGGGAAGGAGAGUACCCGAAGAAAAAGCAUCGGCUACCUCCGUGCCAGCAGCCGCGGUAAUACGGAGGAUGCGAGCGUUAUCCGGAUUUAUUGGGUUUAAAGGGUGCGUAGGCGGAAGGUUAAGUCAGCGGUCAAAUGUCGGUGCUCAACACCGGCCUGCCGUUGAAACUGGUCGUCUUGAGUGAGCGAGAAGUAUGCGGAAUGCGUGGUGUAGCGGUGAAAUGCAUAGAUAUCACGCAGAACUCCGAUUGCGAAGGCAGCAUACCGGCGCUCAACUGACGCUGAGGCACGAAAGCGUGGGGAUCGAACAGGAUUAGAUACCCCUGUAGUC